This 322-nucleotide ribosomal RNA is filed under the name uncultured eukaryote. RNAcentral describes it as "partial 18S ribosomal RNA". It matches the Rfam family "Eukaryotic small subunit ribosomal RNA", at positions 1470 to 1796 of the family's 1831-position model. The record is from RNAcentral.
CCCUUAGAUGUUCUGGGCCGCACGCGCGCUACACUGACUGGUGCAACAAGUGUCUGACCUUGGCUCGAGAGGCCUGGGCAACCUUUGAACGCCAGUCGUGCUGGGGAUAGAUUCUUGCAAUUAUUAAUCUUCAACGAGGAAUUCCUAGUAAACGCAAGUCAUCAGCUUGCAUUGAUUACGUCCCUGCCCUUUGUACACACCGCCCGUCGCACCUACCGAUUGAAUGGUCCGGUGAAAUCUCGGGACGGCGGCUCGGUCGCUUGCGUCCGACUGCUGAAACUUGAUUAAACCAUAUCAUUUAGAGGAAGGUGAAGUCGUAACA